Long non-coding RNA from Hibiscus syriacus, 985 nucleotides. RefSeq lists it as uncharacterized. Lineage: Eukaryota; Viridiplantae; Streptophyta; Magnoliopsida; Malvales; Malvaceae. The record is from RefSeq and is a predicted model, not a curated record. The transcript is spliced from 6 exons.
CCCCAGAUUUCACCAUCAAAGACCCUUUCUUUAUUGACCUGUUUUAAUGUUACAUAGUCAAUAAAGUAAGAAACUUUGAUUAUAAAAUCCCAGAUUUUCAUUAUUGAUUUCUCAGUUCACAUUUAGAUAUGGCAAAACUUAGAGUUACAAUCACCCGGGCAGGCUCAAGCAAGGUGGUGAAGAUGGGAGAUGAUGACAUUGUUGGCCAUGGAAGAAUGAAUUGAACAAAGAUUAUUACAUGACAAACCCUGGAGAAAUGUUGGUAACAAAAGGCGUAGAACUGACGGUGCCGAACAGAGAUCGAACGGCAUUAGAGGACAGGUAGCAGCUAAUUCUAUUGCUAGAUUCAAUUAGGUGUUUAUAUAUGCAAGUUUUGCUUUGGUUGAUGGAUUAUGGUGCUGUGAUAUGACUGUUUCUCGGAUCGUGCCGGGAAAAGACCUCCGAUUUAAAUUGAUGACCAAACAUGGAAUAGGACCGAAGAAUCUGCAAUCGGAUCGGAACCACUCGCAAUGGUAUUCCAGAUGGUUUGCAUAUAUCCUCUAUGCAAACUGCAGAUGAAUCUGGAGGUUUUCCCAAGAUACAUCAAACAAUGCCAACUGCCUUGCAAGGCAUGAUCUAUUUUCGAGCACUAUAGUUUUAGGCCCUUCAAUGGAGUCGGUCCGGUCCUGAUAUUGAGAGAGCCAUAAUUUCCCAGCCAGCGAGUAUGUAGCACCAAUGAGCAGCAUCCUGCAGGAAGCCACAUGUUGAUGAAGAACCUUUCACUGUUUCUACCUUGUUGAACUCACUUGGUUUGGGGAAAUACGCUGUUCAUUUUAUGGCCGAAGAUAAGUGGAUAUGCACUAAGGCAAGUGGGAGACAGGGACCUCAAAGAGCUCGGCAUUCCAAUGGGACCAAGGAAGAAACUUCUGCUUGCUCUUAGGCCCCAUUCAAGGAGGCAUCUUCCACGCAUCGUUAGACUUUAAUUUGCUGUAUUAACGGUGGAGUU